AGCAGCCGCGGUAAUUCCAGCUCCAAUAGCGUAUAUUAAAGUUGUUGCAGUUAAAAAGCUCGUAGUUGAAUUUCGGGAUUGGCGUAUCGGUCGUGCCUCACGGGGUAUGAACUGGUGCAGUCAAUUUCUCACCUUCUGGAGAACCGCGAUGUCCUUAAUUGGAUGCCGUGGGGAACCAGGACCUUUACUUUGAAAAAAUUAGAGUGUUUAAAGCAGGCAUUUUUGCUUGAAUACAUUAGCAUGGAAUAAUAAAAUAGGACGGCAUGGUUCUAUUUUGUUGGUUUCUAGGACCACCGUAAUGAUUAAUAGGGAUAGUUGGGGGCAUUAGUAUUCAAUUGUCAGAGGUGAAAUUCUUGGAUUUAUUGAAGACUAACUACUGCGAAAGCAUUUGCCAAGGAUGUUUUCAUUAAUCAAGAACGAAAGUUAGGGGAUCGAAGACGAUCAGAUACCGUCGUAGUCUUAACCAUAAACUAUGCCGACUAGGAAUCAGACGAUGUUAAUUUUUUAAUGACUCGUUUGG
Molecule: unclassified non-coding RNA, 520 nt
Filed under: uncultured Entrophospora
Lineage: Eukaryota; Fungi; Glomeromycota; Glomeromycetes; Entrophosporales; Entrophosporaceae
Description: SSU rRNA
Rfam family: Eukaryotic small subunit ribosomal RNA
Source: RNAcentral